This 240-nucleotide ribosomal RNA is filed under the name uncultured bacterium. Its description in RNAcentral is "partial 16S ribosomal RNA". It matches the Rfam family "Bacterial small subunit ribosomal RNA", at positions 94 to 334 of the family's 1533-position model. The record is from RNAcentral.
AGCGGCGGACGGGUGAGUAACGCGUGGGUAACCGUGCCUCAUACAGGGGGAUAACAGUUGGAAACGGCUGCUAAUACCGCAUAAGCGCACAGUACCGCAUGGUACCGUGUGAAAAACUCCGGUGGUAUGAGAUGGACCCGCGUCUGAUUAGCUAGUUGGUGGGGUAACGGCCUACCAAGCGACGAUCAGUAGCCGACCUGAGAGGGUGACCGGCCACAUUGGGACUGAGACACGGCCCAA